This 65-nucleotide transfer RNA is filed under the name uncultured Alistipes sp. It matches the Rfam family "tRNA", at positions 5 to 66 of the family's 71-position model. Rfam says of the family: Transfer RNA (tRNA) molecules are approximately 80 nucleotides in length. Their secondary structure includes four short double-helical elements and three loops (D, anti-codon, and T loops). Lineage: Bacteria; Pseudomonadati; Bacteroidota; Bacteroidia; Bacteroidales; Rikenellaceae. The record is from RNAcentral.
CCGUAGCUCAGCUGGAUAGAGCAACAGCCUUCUAAGCUGUGGGUCGUGGGUUCGAAUCCCGCCGG